RNAcentral lists this ribosomal RNA (491 nucleotides) under uncultured bacterium. Its description in RNAcentral is "partial 16S ribosomal RNA". It matches the Rfam family "Bacterial small subunit ribosomal RNA", at positions 29 to 507 of the family's 1533-position model. The record is from RNAcentral.
AGUGAACGCUGGCGGUAGGCCUAACACAUGCAAGUCGAACGGCAGCACAGUAAGAGCUUGCUCUUACGGGUGGCGAGUGGCGGACGGGUGAGGAAUACAUCGGAAUCUACUUUUUCGUGGGGGAUAACGUAGGGAAACUUACGCUAAUACCGCAUACGACCUACGGGUGAAAGCAGGGGAUCUUCGGACCUUGCGCGAUUGAAUGAGCCGAUGUCGGAUUAGCUAGUUGGCGGGGUAAGGCCCACCAAGGCGACGAUCCGUAGCUGGUCUGAGAGGAUGAUCAGCCACACUGGAACUGAGACACGGUCCAGACUCCUACGGGAGGCAGCAGUGGGGAAUAUUGGAAAAUGGGCGGAAGCCUGAUCCAGCCAUACCGCGUGGGGGAAGAAGGCCUUCGGGUUGUAAAGCCCUUUUGUUGGGAAAGAAAAGCAGCAGGUUAAUACCCCGCUGUUCUGACGGUACCCAAAGAAUAAGCACCGGCUAACUUCGUG